This 1056-nucleotide long non-coding RNA is filed under the name Homo sapiens (human). Its description in RNAcentral is "non-protein coding LINC02541:40". The record is from RNAcentral. Lineage: Eukaryota; Metazoa; Chordata; Mammalia; Primates; Hominidae.
AGAAGCCAGGAGGAGUUAGGAACAGACUAUAAGAAAUGGUUGGUCUGGAGGAAAAAGGGUAAAACUUAUGAGGGCCCUUGUGAAUUGAUGAAUAUGAAGACACUAAGAAAGCAGAAAUAGAACUGAGAAGAAUGAAAUAACUGUCUCUACCUUUCUCGAAUUGUCUAAUAUGGAAAGAAUGAAAGACAGCUAAUAAGCAACUCUCUGCAAGAAGACAUAUGGCUUAGGUUCUGCUGAGCUAUUGGUGAUUUGAUUCCAUGCAUAUGUAUUCACUACUGAAUCUACUUGGAGAGAGUCAAACACAGAAUCCCUUUGAAUUUAAUGGCCAUUCCAGGUGAUUUGAACAGCCAAAUAAGAAACAGGUCCUCUUCAAUGUACAAUCUGCCAAGUAUGAAGUCUGAAUGACCAUCAUUAUUAUGUAUUUAAUGUGCAUAGAAAAUCUAUCUGCAACCUUCCAGAGUGUACCAGAAGUUUGGAAUGUACAUUAUUAUUGGCUCCAUCUCAAACCACUCAUAAAUCAAAGAAAAUAGCAGUUCCAGAGGAAUCAUCAUAGAGGCUUCUAGGCCCCCAUGCUGUGUGAACCUGGUGAGAAAGGGAAGUCUGCUCUCACUGGACACUGGAACUGUUUGUCUCUGUCUCUGCUGUACUUUCCCUGCCUCUACCUCACUUAGUAAAGAAAUCAUCUUUGCUUGAUAACUAAAACAACCAAUAAGGCUGAGAAAGGGGAAAACCCACAUCUGGAUUUAAAUACAAGGUAUUGGGCCAGCUGCUGGGGAUUAAACUUUGAACAAAACAGAUAGAAUCUAUGUCCUCAUGGGAGUGGCUAAUGGGAGAGUCGGAACAAAAAAAUAGCCAAGGAUAAUCCAGCAAAUGAUUUGGUGAAUGCUAUCAAAGAGAGAAAUACACAUGCUCUGGGAACACCAAGAAUAAACGAGAGAAAGGGACAUUAAUAUAUAUUGAAUAUCUGCUGUGUCAGGCACCUUACAUAUAUUGAUUGCUUCUUCACUUCUUUUAAUCUUUACUACACCACAUGAGGCUGUCAUAGAGAUUCUGAGG